UUUUAAUUUAAUGUUGCCUCACUUAACAUUGUUUUUCUAUUAUGUUGCAAGCAAAAAAACUAAAUUAAUUAAUUAAAAAAUGGACAUUUUUAAAGCAGCAGAAUGGAAUAAAGUCCUAUUUUCUUACAUGUCCUGCAUAACAGACAGCAAAUGUGUUGGAAACCUAUAGCAGUAGUUGUAGAAAACCAGGUAACCACAUUUUAUAUGAGCGCUAACUCAAAUAUAUAAUAUUAUCUAUGAAUACUAUGUUAAACUAUAUUGCAGUAGGACAGUUGAUCAAAUUUGCCACAUGGAAACACUUUGACUUUCUAACCAGAGGAUCUAGGAUCGAAUUAAGAUCCUGUCACUUGGAAAAUUUGAGGGGUCUGUGCUCAGAUUGUCUAGUACCUUCCUCUACAACAAUGAUUUUCAACCAAUUGUGUUAUGAGAGGAUCCUAGGUGUGCUGCGAAAAUUUUUAAAGAUCCAUAGAUACUCAUAGUUCUUUACUGCUUUCUUACUACUUACAA
RNAcentral lists this long non-coding RNA (507 nucleotides) under Androctonus crassicauda. The record is from RNAcentral. Lineage: Eukaryota; Metazoa; Arthropoda; Arachnida; Scorpiones; Buthidae.